RNAcentral lists this ribosomal RNA (833 nucleotides) under Salmonella enterica. RNAcentral's name for it is "partial 23S ribosomal RNA". It matches the Rfam family "Bacterial large subunit ribosomal RNA", at positions 354 to 1190 of the family's 2925-position model. The record is from RNAcentral. Lineage: Bacteria; Pseudomonadati; Pseudomonadota; Gammaproteobacteria; Enterobacterales; Enterobacteriaceae.
CGAUACAGGGUGACAGCCCCGUACACAAAAGCGCAUGUGCUGUGAGCUCGAUGAGUAGGGCGGGACACGUGGUAUCCUGUCUGAAUAUGGGGGGACCAUCCUCCAAGGCUAAAUACUCCUGACUGACCGAUAGUGAACCAGUACCGUGAGGGAAAGGCGAAAAGAACCCCGGCGAGGGGAGUGAAAAAGAACCUGAAACCGUGUACGUACAAGCAGUGGGAGCACAGGUUUACCUGUGUGACUGCGUACCUUUUGUAUAAUGGGUCAGCGACUUAUAUUCUGUAGCAAGGUUAACCGUAUAGGGGAGCCGAAGGGAAACCGAGUCUUAACCGGGCGUUAAGUUGCAGGGUAUAGACCCGAAACCCGGUGAUCUAGCCAUGGGCAGGUUGAAGGUUGGGUAACACUAACUGGAGGACCGAACCGACUAAUGUUGAAAAAUUAGCGGAUGACCUGUGGCUGGGGGUGAAAGGCCAAUCAAACCGGGAGAUAGCUGGUUCUCCCCGAAAGCUAUUUAGGUAGCGCCUCGUGAAUUCAUCUCCGGGGGUAGAGCACUGUUUCGGCUAGGGGGCCAUCCCGGCUUACCAACCCGAUGCAAACUGCGAAUACCGGAGAAUGUUAUCACGGGAGACACACGGCGGGUGCUAACGUCCGUCGUGAAGAGGGAAACAACCCAGACCGCCAGCUAAGGUCCCAAAGUCAUGGUUAAGUGGGAAACGAUGUGGGAAGGCCCAGACAGCCAGGAUGUUGGCUUAGAAGCAGCCAUCAUUUAAAGAAAGCGUAAUAGCUCACUGGUCGAGUCGGCCUGCGCGGAAGAUGUAACGGGGCUAAACCAU